This 241-nucleotide ribosomal RNA is filed under the name uncultured bacterium. Its description in RNAcentral is "partial 16S ribosomal RNA". It matches the Rfam family "Bacterial small subunit ribosomal RNA", at positions 130 to 353 of the family's 1533-position model. The record is from RNAcentral.
CCUUCAGAGGGGGACAACAGUUGGAAACGACUGCUAAUACCGCAUACGAUCUAAUCUCGGCAUCGAGGAUAGAUGAAAGGUGGCCUCUACAUGUAAGCUAUCACUGAAGGAGGGGAUUGCGUCUGAUUAGCUAGUUGGAGGGGUAACGGCCCACCAAGGCGAUGAUCAGUAGCCGGUCUGAGAGGAUGAACGGCCACAUUGGGACUGAGACACGGCCCAGACUCCUACGGGAGGCAGCAUG